Molecule: long non-coding RNA, 2261 nt
Organism: Cannabis sativa
Lineage: Eukaryota; Viridiplantae; Streptophyta; Magnoliopsida; Rosales; Cannabaceae
Exons: 3
Source: RefSeq, a predicted model, not a curated record
GUUAAUAAUUGACGCAACAAAAAAGUGAAAUCCCUAAAACUAAACCUAAACACAAUAUAUUGUUCAUCAUUUCACGACCUAAGCCAAAGACUCCAUAGUCGAUCUAAACGUGAAAGACUCCACAAUCGACCUAAACGCACUGCCGCCCUCAACCCUUAUAGUCGAGCUCUCAGUCGCUAGCAGUGGCGUUUCUCGUCUCCUCUCGCCUCCGGUUUUAAAAGGAAGCUAAUCGAUCUCCCAGUCGCAGCAGUGGAGUUUCUCUUCUCCUCCUCCAGCCUCCGGUGGUCUCUCCUGUUGCUGCUGGUGGUCUGUGGUCUCUCUUCAGACAACGGCGAGGAGAUAUAUCAGAUGCAAAGGUCUAAAGUAGUGGGUCGGUCUCUGUUCUUGGGUUCUCUUUACCCAAUCUGAGAAUGGCUUGUGUGGAAACCAUGGAAUUGGGUCAUAAGGGCUUCAGUCGCAGUUGAACAACAAACCCAGAAGACUAGAGUAGCUUUUAUCAGAAUUGGGACUAGAGUAAGGUGCAUUCUUUUUCAUUUUAGUGUUCUUCGUUUCAGCUUCUUUUGACUUGGCAAGAAAUUACAAAUGUAGUUAGAAUUUUGUUCAAUUUUGGGUGUUCGAAUUGACAUGGGUUUUCUACAUUAUGUCCUUUUCCUGUUCAUUCUUUCAGAUCUUGAUGUGUUGAGAAUUUUACUUUUUGUGCAUCUAUACAUGGUUUGUUGAUCCAAACGAUUACUUAUGCUUUUUUUUUACUAUAAUUCCUUAACACUUACCAUAAAUGUACUUAUAUAUAGAAAUCAUUAUAGUAAAUACCGAUGCUAUAAAUUUGAUGUUUGUAACAAAUGUAUGUGACAUUAACUAAAACCUUUUAUUAUAUUGGACUUCUUUCUAUGUUGAUACUACUGAGGAUUGCUGAGAGUUUCCACUUUUCAAGUAGAAGAAACAUGGUUGAAGCAUUAGUGGAACUAUUGCUUUAUACCUUAAUAUUUUAAUGUCCUCUGAUUAUAUUAUGUACUUAUUGCUUUGGUGUCAAAUGACUCUUCCGAUAUUUCUACUGUAUACUUAAAAUGUUGAUUCAUCCUUUUUCUCUGCAUAUGUGUUUCGAUGCAUAACCUAAUGUGUUCUUUUGGUUAACUUUGUUUUUUGUAUGUAAUUGAUGGAAUGUAUUGAAUCAAGUAUUGACAAUAAAGCUUGAAUGAAGAGGAAGUUGUUAACUGCAUUGAAGUGGGUUAGGUUUGAGAUUUUCAGAUUGGCCUCUGAUAAUAAUCAAAGGAAAUGGGAUUAGUCCCUUUUUUGAAAUGAUUCAUUUGUAUUGGUCAUAAUAUUCACUAGUGACUGUUAUGUAGAGUUCGUUUUUGCCUUAAAAUUCCAAUCUUUAGUCAUUGACUUUCACCCUUUUUGGUCUUGUUUCAAAACAUAAAAUAAAAUAGCAUGAUUGUUUGUAGCAGAACUUGUUUUACAAACAAAAGCUAGGAACUUUAAUUUAAAGUCUAUAUAUAUAGGUUGAUGCAUAUGCGUUUUGCUUUUUAAUUUAAUACCCUUUCCUUGAAACUUUUUUUUUUAAAAAAAAAGGAAAAGGAAAGAACAAAACUUUAACUUAUGUCCAUCACUUUUCUUUUUUGGUGUUAGAUCCUUAGAUUCUUACAAUUUGCUUCCCUCUUUGGGACUGAAUUUGUUUAUGAAUCUCUGUUUUCAAUUCCAUUUUUAAGCAAGUUUGUUUGGUUUUAGAGUCGCAAAGACUUUGAGGGAUCUCUCUUUGUCGUUAAAAGGUAACAACUUCUAUCUUGACCGUUUUGUAAUUGUCUAGUAAUACUUGUUUUUUCUGUGUUGGGGUUUUCUUUAUGGUUAAAUUGUAAUUGGCUUAGGCUCACCUAGUUCAAUGUAUCUUUUUGCUGUUAAGGAAUACUCAACUUCGGUUUCAGUUCAUUGUCAUGAAUCGGCGUAACACAGUUCAAGUCAGACGCUCCUUAUAGUAACGAGGAGAUCAAUGCAGUACGGGAUGAGUGAGCCGAAUUUGUGAAGCCUUUGAUUAUAAAUUAAGUACAAGGUUACUACUUUUGUUAUAAUACAUGAGUAACAAGUUUUAUGAUUAUUGUUAUUUUUUGCAUAUGUAAUUAGUUUAUAUUUAGUUUACGAUAUACAUGGAAUUUAAGUUUUAGGAUCGAUUCUAUUAACAAUUUUGGUAUUGUGUGAUUAGUUAAUAGAAUCGAUUACUAAUUUAUGUAAGUUUUAAAAAUGUUAUUUUAACUUUUUUGUAUUAUGUA